UAAAAAGCUCGUAGUUGGAUCUGUGUAUCGGACGGUCGGUUCGUCGCUCGCGGCGUUUAACUGACCGGUCCGGACGUCCUGCCGGUGGGCGCGCGCGGGGGGUUCACGCCUCUCGCGUCGCCCGUUAACCUUCCCUCCGGGCUUGCUCUUAACCGAGCGGCGCGGUGGGCCGGCACGUUUACUUUGAACAAAUUUGAGUGCUCAAAGCAGGCCUCGAGUCGCCUGAAAACUGUGUGCAUGGAAUAAUGGAAUAGGGCCUCUUUUCUAUUUUGUUGGCUUUUCUGAAAUAGAGGUAAUGAUUAAUAGGGACAGACGGGGGCAUUCGUAUUGCGACGUUAGAGGUGAAAUUCUUGGAUCGUCGCAAGACGGACGGAUGCGAAAGCGUUUGCCAAGAAUGUUUUCGCUAAUCAAGAACGAAAGUUAGAGGUUCGAAGGCGAUCAGAUACCGCCCUAGUUCUAACCAUAAACGAUGCCAGCCAGCGAUGCGCCGACGUUCCUCCGAUGACUCGGCGCGCAGCUUCCGGGAAACCAAAGCUUUUGGGUUCCGGGG
This 550-nucleotide ribosomal RNA is filed under the name Serratella setigera. RNAcentral describes it as "SSU rRNA". It matches the Rfam family "Eukaryotic small subunit ribosomal RNA", at positions 620 to 1119 of the family's 1831-position model. The record is from RNAcentral. Lineage: Eukaryota; Metazoa; Arthropoda; Insecta; Ephemeroptera; Ephemerellidae.